RNAcentral lists this ribosomal RNA (490 nucleotides) under uncultured bacterium. RNAcentral's name for it is "partial 16S ribosomal RNA". It matches the Rfam family "Bacterial small subunit ribosomal RNA", at positions 30 to 507 of the family's 1533-position model. The record is from RNAcentral.
AUUGAACGCUGGCGGCAGGCCUAACACAUGCAAGUCGAACGGUAACAGGAAGCAGCUUGCUGCUUCGCUGACGAGUGGCGGACGGGUGAGUAAUGUCUGGGAAGCUGCCUGAUGGAGGGGGAUAACUACUGGAAACGGUAGCUAAUACCGCAUAAUGUCGCAAGACCAAAGAGGGGGACCUUCGGGCCUCUUGCCAUCGGCUGUGCCCAGAUGGGAUUAGCUUGUUGGUGGGGUAACGGCUCACCAAGGCGACGAUCCCUAGCUGGUCUGAGAGGAUGACCAGCCACACUGGAACUGAGACACGGUCCAGACUCCUACGGGAGGCGGCAGUGGGGAAUAUUGCACAAUGGGCGCAAGCCUGAUGCAGCCAUGCCGCGUGUAUGAAGAAGGCCUUCGGGUUGUAAAGUACUUUCAGCGGGGAGGAAGGGAGUAAAGUUAAUACCUUUGCUCAUUGACGUUACCCGCAGAAGAAGCACCGGCUAACUCCGUG